GCUCAGAUGGUGCCACUGAAUUCCAGCCUGGCAACAGAGCAAGACUCCAUGUCAAUUAAAAAAAAAAAAGACAAAGAUCUCAUCUAGAGCCAUGUCUCCUGUUAAUUUAAAUCGAGACCCUUGAUGACUCAAUCUAAAGACACCUGAAGCCACUGUACCCCAGAAUUUAACUCAGGAAUCCACUUUAUUCUAUGGUUUAUGAAAAUGUGACUUUCCUUUGUAAGUCUGAUUGUUCAACAUGCAAUGUCUUCAUGAAUGGUAAUCUACCUUGACACCCAGUAAAGUCAUCCUUUUCC
Long non-coding RNA from Sapajus apella (tufted capuchin), 296 nucleotides. RefSeq lists it as uncharacterized. The transcript is spliced from 2 exons. The record is from RefSeq and is a predicted model, not a curated record. Lineage: Eukaryota; Metazoa; Chordata; Mammalia; Primates; Cebidae.